GUUGAAACACCAGUUCUCAUAUGAUCAUUAAAGUUAAGCAAUGUUGAGCCUGGUCACUACCUAGAUGGGUGACUUCUUUGGAAUACCAAGUGCU
Molecule: non-coding RNA, 94 nt
Organism: Acanthosepion pharaonis
Lineage: Eukaryota; Metazoa; Mollusca; Cephalopoda; Sepiida; Sepiidae
Source: the annotation of a GenBank genome assembly